RNAcentral lists this long non-coding RNA (1642 nucleotides) under Mus caroli (Ryukyu mouse). RNAcentral describes it as "lncRNA (MGP_CAROLIEiJ_G0006386.1)". The record is from RNAcentral. Lineage: Eukaryota; Metazoa; Chordata; Mammalia; Rodentia; Muridae.
AAGAACUGAGUAGAAUGUUCUGAUCAAAGCUAAUCUGGACUGGANUGCUGGAAUCUGGUCUGGUUUGAUAUAGCUUUAUCUGGUUUGGGCUGGUCUAAUUUGGUCUAGGUCUAGCCUAUAUUCAUUUAAGCUGGCCUGGGCUUGUCUAUUCUGGUCUAACUUCUGAGCUGGUCUAAGUUUUACUGGGCUGGUAUAGUCUGGUUUGGUCUAACCUGGCCCAGUUUGGUCUAUUCUUGUGUUGUCUAAGCUAGUCUAGUCUGGCCUACAGUAGUGUGAUCUACCCUGAUCUAAUCUAGUCUAAACUAUUCUGGUGUAGUUGGUUUGGUCUGGAUUGGUUAAGUUAGUCUGGUCUGGCUUGUGCUGGUAUGUCCUAGCCUGGUCUGGAUUAGUUAAAUCUAACCUGUUCUGUUCUGUUCUGGUGUAUAGUAGUCUGUUUUGGGUUGGUUUAUUCUUCUUUGGUCUGGUCUGUGCUGAUAGAGUCUAGCUGGGUCUGGUCUGAUAUGAGCUGGUCUUGGCUGGUUAAUUCUGGUGAGUUCCAGCCUUGUCUGGAUUGGUCUAAACUGGGCUUAUACGCUCUAUUCUGGUGUUUUUCAUCUAAUCUGAGCGGUUCUGUUCUGGUAUGAUCUAGUCUGGACUGGCACAAGCCGUUCAUUUUUCACUAAUUGUUUUCUCUAAGAGCAGCUGCUGAGCAAGGGACUGGAUCUCAGAAGAACUAGACGUUCUACUAGCAAAAAAAGGUUCCAUUUGACAGGGCUGAAGAUGAGGUGCCAUGAAGAUAUCAAAGACAGUGGNNNNNNNNNNNNNNNNNNNNNNNNNNNNNNNNNNNNNNNNNNNNNNNNNNNNNNNNNNNNNNNNNNNGAGUUUCUGCUGUGAGUCACUGAGCCAUGGUAACUGGGUGUCCCACAUCUGCUCUGACAGUCCUCUCAGCUCCCGGGUCAUGGAUGAGAUGACUGAUCAUCAGCAACUGCAGAGCACAGGGAACACCACCCGUGCAAGAAAACUCCGGAUCCUGAGUUCAGGCCGCAUGCUUCAUUCCUGACCAAGAGAAUGCUGGGUACUGAGCAGUGACAGGUGUCCAUCCAGAGGCCCCUAGGUGCCUUCCUGAUUUUUUUUUUCCUGGUGCAUGCCUCUCUGGCUCAGGUGGGAGGAGAGGAGAGACNGACUUGAACCUGUCAGGAGAAGACAAGGACCAUGGUGGAUGUUUGAAGUUCCAGGUUGGACGACUGAGAAGCUGGGGAGACAGAUUCUACAGGGCUGAUCCAGCUGAAAAUGAGACUCACAAUUUGAUCACACGGGUGCACAGUGACAACGUCGAUUGAAUUUGCAGCUCUGACAGAUGUGUUUUAUAAAGGCCGGGGCACUGAUCAGAGAGGAGCAGGAUGCCAGGGCAUGUUAUUGAACUUGGAUGAGUCUGAAAAACAGCUGCUUCUUGCUGUCUGGAGUGAUGAGUCUCUCCUUUCCUGAGAAGCCCGUGAGGAGUUCACAGGAGCAACUUCCCCAGGAGAACAUGGAGUCUCGUCUGCUGAGCUGCCAGCAGAAGCCUCUUCCUGUGCCCCAGGAUACUUGUCUCAGAGGAGAUCGUUAUGGUACCAUGGGAAUUUUCCUAUGACCCAUUGAUAGAGCAAGAAAAAAACACACCCCC